AACGAACGCUGGCGGCAUGCCUAACACAUGCAAGUCGAACGAGACCUUCGGGUCUAGUGGCGCACGGGUGCGUAACGCGUGGGAACCUGCCCUUAGGUUCGGAAUAACUCCCCGAAAGGGGUGCUAAUACCGGAUAAUGUCUUCGGACCAAAGAUUUAUCGCCUUUGGAUGGGCCCGCGUUGGAUUAGCUAGUUGGUAGAGUAAAAGCCUACCAAGGCGACGAUCCAUAGCUGGUCUGAGAGGAUGAUCAGCCACACUGGGACUGAGACACGGCCCAGACUCCUACGGGAGGCAGCAGUGGGGAAUAUUGGACAAUGGGCGAAAGCCUGAUCCAGCAAUGCCGCGUGAGUGAAGAAGGCCUUAGGGUUGUAAAGCUCUUUUACCCGGGAUGAUAAUGACAGUACCGGGAGAAUAAGCUCCGGCUAACUCCGUG
Molecule: ribosomal RNA, 433 nt
Filed under: uncultured bacterium
Lineage: Bacteria
Description: partial 16S ribosomal RNA
Rfam family: Bacterial small subunit ribosomal RNA
Source: RNAcentral